Molecule: ribosomal RNA, 402 nt
Filed under: uncultured bacterium
Lineage: Bacteria
Description: bacterial SSU rRNA
Rfam family: Bacterial small subunit ribosomal RNA
Source: RNAcentral
UGGGGAAUAUUGCACAAUGGGGGAAACCCUGAUGCAGCGACGCCGCGUGAGUGAAGAAGUAUUUCGGUAUGUAAAGCUCUAUCAGCAGGGAAGAGAAUGACGGUACCUGACUAAGAAGCCCCGGCUAACUACGUGCCAGCAGCCGCGGUAAUACGUAGGGGGCAAGCGUUAUCCGGAUUUACUGGGUGUAAAGGGAGCGUAGACGGCAUAGCAAGUCUGAAGUGAAAUACCCGGGCUCAACCUGGGAACUGCUUUGGAAACUGUUAAGCUGGAGUGCUGGAGAGGCAAGCGGAAUUCCUAGUGUAGCGGUGAAAUGUGUAGAUAUUAGGAGGAACACCAGUGGCGAAGGCGGCUUGCUGGACAGUAACUGACGUUGAGGCUCGAAAGCGUGGGGAGCAAACA